GACGAGGGGUCCAAGCGUUGUUCGGAAUCAUUGGGCGUAAAGCGGGUGUAGGUGGCUCUAUAAGUCAGGAGUGAAAUCCCCGAGCUUAACUUGGGAAGUGCUUUUGAUACUGCAGAGCUUGAAUGUGGGAGAGGAUCGUGGAAUUCCAGGUGUAGUGGUGAAAUACGUAGAUAUCUGGAGGAACACCGGUGGCGAAGGCGGCGAUCUGGCCCAACAUUGACACUGAGACCCGAAAGCAUGGGGAUCAAACAGG
This 253-nucleotide ribosomal RNA is filed under the name uncultured bacterium. Its description in RNAcentral is "partial 16S ribosomal RNA". It matches the Rfam family "Bacterial small subunit ribosomal RNA", at positions 524 to 776 of the family's 1533-position model. The record is from RNAcentral.